Molecule: unclassified non-coding RNA, 1035 nt
Filed under: Actinomyces viscosus
Lineage: Bacteria; Bacillati; Actinomycetota; Actinomycetes; Actinomycetales; Actinomycetaceae
Description: partial 16S-23S ribosomal RNA intergenic spacer
Rfam family: Bacterial large subunit ribosomal RNA (bases 440-1035)
Source: RNAcentral
GCCGUACCGGAAGGUGCGGCUGGAUCACCUCCUUUCUAGGGAUUGAUUGUGCUUGCGGCGCCCCUGGUGUCCUGGUUUGUUUCNCCCCUUUUGUUCUUGUGGGGGUGGCUGGGGUGCUGGGUGCCGUGGGGAAGAUGAUGGUGUAAGGAACACGCCUGCCUGGGCUGGUUGGUCUGGGUGGGUGCCCCUGCGUGUGCGUGCUUGGUGUGCGUGUGUGUGGGGGUGGCAUGCUGUCGGGGUUCUGGGGCAGUGCGCCCUGGUUGCCUGGCCUGUAGGGUCUGCUGGUUUGUUGCUGGUGGGUCUUGUGGGUGUGGGUGGGUUGGUUGUGAACUGUAUAGUGGACGCGAGCAUCUUACUGUAAGUGUUUUCUGCGACAAGCGCGUGGAUGCGCAUGGUCUUGUGUGGGUCGUGUGUGUUUGUGUGUUGUUGUGGUUCUUGUUGUUUGUUUUUGUUGAGCGUUCGGUGGAUGCCUUGGCAUCAGGGGCCGAUGAAGGACGUGGUGGCCUGCGAUAUUCCUCGGGGAGCCGGCUGGCGGGCUGUGAUCCGAGGGUUUCCGAAUGGGGGGACCCGGCACGAGUUAUGUCGUGUCACCUGCAUCUGAAUUGUAUAGGGUGUGGGGGGUGACGCGGGGAAGUGAAACAUCUUAGUACCCGUAGGAGAAGAUAUUCCGUGAGUAGUGGCGAGCGAAAGCGGAUGAUGGUUAAACCGUGUGCGUGUGAUACUCGGCAGGGGUUGCGUGUGCGGGGUUGUGGGGCUGUUCUGUCGUCUUCUGCCGGAGGCGGGGCGCGUGUGCUGGCUGGUAGCUGAAACGUCUGGGAAGGCGUGGCGUAGUGGGUGAUACCCCCGUAGGUGUAACUGGUUGGUGCGUGUCUGGGAUGGUGCCCGAGUAGCACGGGGCUCGUGGAAUCCUGUGUGAAUCUGCCAAGACCACUUGGCUGCCUGAAUACCUCCUGAUGACCGAUAGUGGAUAGUACCGUGAGGGAAUGGUGAAAAGUACCCCGGGAGGGGAGUGAAAUAGAACCUGAAACCGUGUGC